Molecule: non-coding RNA, 29 nt
Filed under: Cricetulus griseus (Chinese hamster)
Lineage: Eukaryota; Metazoa; Chordata; Mammalia; Rodentia; Cricetidae
Source: RNAcentral
AAGCUGCAUAAUCAAUAAAUAGAACAAGG